UAAAAACCCCGACUUCGGAAGGGGUGUAUUUAUUAGAUACAAAACCAAUGCCCUUCGGGGCUCUUUGGUGAUUCAUGAUAACUAUACGAAUCGCACGGCCUUGCGCCGGCGAUGGUUCAUUCAAAUUUCUUCCCUACCAACUUUCGAUGUUUGGGUAUUGGCCAAACAUGGUUGCAACGGGUAACGGAGGGUUAGGGCUCGACCCCGGAGAAGGAGCCUGAGAAACGGCUACUACAUCCAAGGAAGGCAGCAGGCGCGCAAAUUACCCAAUCCCGACUCGGGGAGGUAGUGACAAUAAAUACUGAUACAGGGCCCUUUCGGGCCUUGUAAUUGGAAUGAGUACAAUUUAAAUCCCUUAACGAGGAACAAUUGGAGGGCAAGUCUGGUGCCAGCAGCCGCGGUAAUUCCAGCUCCAAUAGCGUAUAUUAAAGUUGUUGUGGUUACUAAUCUCGUAAUUGACCUAGGGCCUGACGGGCCGGUCCGUCACCACACGGGCACAGGUCAGGCGAGACCAUCCAAAGAAUAGCAUUGUAAAAGGACUAAAUUGACGGUGAAACGAACAGAUAUUAUAUGUUU
This 576-nucleotide ribosomal RNA is filed under the name uncultured eukaryote. RNAcentral's name for it is "bacterial SSU rRNA". It matches the Rfam family "Eukaryotic small subunit ribosomal RNA", at positions 174 to 754 of the family's 1831-position model. The record is from RNAcentral.